UACAGAGGGGGCAAGCGUUGUUCGGAAUUACUGGGCGUAAAGGGCGCGUAGGCGGCCUGUUAAGUCGAACGUGAAAUCCCCGGGCUCAACCCGGGAACUGCGUCCGAUACUGGCAGGCUUGAAUUCGGGAGAGGGAUGCGGAAUUCCAGGUGUAGCGGUGAAAUGCGUAGAUAUCUGGAGGAACACCGGUGGCGAAGGCGGCAUCCUGGACCAAUACUGACACUGAGGAGCGAAAGCCAGGGGAGCAAACGGG
Molecule: ribosomal RNA, 253 nt
Filed under: uncultured bacterium
Lineage: Bacteria
Description: partial 16S ribosomal RNA
Rfam family: Bacterial small subunit ribosomal RNA
Source: RNAcentral